Molecule: small nucleolar RNA, 107 nt
Organism: Hevea brasiliensis (rubber tree)
Lineage: Eukaryota; Viridiplantae; Streptophyta; Magnoliopsida; Malpighiales; Euphorbiaceae
Source: RefSeq, a predicted model, not a curated record
AUGCCAUGAUGUGGCCAUUGUCUUUGAAUAUCCCUAUAUAUCUCCCAUAUUUCAUGUAAAGAUUCAUCUUUCCUUUGAGAGAAUGUAGCAAGGUAACUGUGGAGCUU